GAACCUUACCUGGGCUCGAAAUGCUAUGGACCGGAGUAGAAAUAUUCCUUCCCCGCAAGGGGCCGUAGUAUAGGUGCUGCAUGGCUGUCGUCAGCUCGUGUCGUGAGAUGUUGGGUUAAGUCCCGCAACGAGCGCAACCCUUAUCUUCAGUUGCUANCAUUUAGUUGAGCACUCUGACGAAACCGCCUCGGAUAACGGGGAGGAAGGUGGGGAUGACGUCAAGUCCUCAUGGCCUUUAUGUCCAGGGCUACACACGAGCUACAAUGGCCGGUACAAACCGUCGCAAACCCGUGAGGGGGAGCUAAUCGGAAAAAGCCGGCCUCAGUUCGGAUUGGAGUCUGCAACUCGACUCCAUGAAGCUGGAAUCGCUAGUAAUCGUGGAUCAGAACGCCGCGGUGAAUACGUUCCCGGGCCUUGUCACACCGA
RNAcentral lists this ribosomal RNA (426 nucleotides) under uncultured soil bacterium. RNAcentral describes it as "bacterial SSU rRNA". It matches the Rfam family "Bacterial small subunit ribosomal RNA", at positions 966 to 1393 of the family's 1533-position model. The record is from RNAcentral.